Protopterus annectens (West African lungfish) is the source of this 2029-nucleotide long non-coding RNA. RefSeq lists it as uncharacterized. The record is from RefSeq and is a predicted model, not a curated record. The transcript is spliced from 3 exons. Lineage: Eukaryota; Metazoa; Chordata; Ceratodontiformes; Protopteridae.
AUCGGCCGGCAUUCCUGUUGCAUUCUGGGUAAUGGAAUGUUGAAACGGCCCUGGGAGCUUAGGGAACCCUCGUGGAGCUCUAAAUAAGGCCUCAACAGACCACAGGAAGCCUUGUGCACUGAUACAAAUGGGCCAACAUAUUACUGAAGAGCUAAAAAAGGAAAAUAAAAACAAAACAAAUGCCAGGACAUCCAGAUGAUGGUAAAAAUAAGCUGGGAAGAUGACAGGAACUCAGAGCUCAGUCCUUCAGAGAAAAGGAUGCCACCAUGCGGCUGCGGCCUUCAGCCAGUUACUACAGAUCCUGGGUGGCCCUAUGGAAGAAUAUUCCUGAGAACCAUAAAACCAAAGAGUUAGCUCUAUCCGUGAAGACCAAAUCCAAUUUAUAAUAAGCGAUGAAGGUAUGCAGACUAGUACAUGCUGCUGCGGUGCACAUCUCAUCCAAGGAAGCCACUGAAUGGAAAACAGCUGAAGUGGACAGCAAUCUAAUGUAAUGAGUCUUCACUGGCAUUGCUAGUUUUAGAUCGUAUUACCUUCAUUUAUCACAAAAACAAACUCUAAGCCACCUGGACAAGGUAACUUUAGAAACAGAUUUUCCCAGGGUUGUGCUAACAAAGGAAAUAAACAACUGUUCUGUUGAGGUAAAAACAUAACUUGUCUGUGUAUGUCUAAACAAGUGUAGGCAGUAUUCUCCUUUAUUGGUAAAAUUUGGAAAGACAACGGGUAGGUCUAUAGUCUGAUUGAUGUUGGAAUCUGAGACUGCCUUUGGAGGGAAAGAUGGAUUGGUCCUGAGUGUAACUCUAUUCUUAUGGAAAAUUAAGUAAGGGGGCUUUGAACAUAAUCUUGCAAUUCGGAUACUCAUAUUGCAGAGGUCACAGCUAUAAGAAGUGUUUUCUUAGACAGAAACUUCAAGUCACAAGAAGCUGCUGGUUCAAAAGGAGAAAGUACUAGUGAUUGUAGAACAAUAAUUAGGCCCCAUGGGAGUAGGGGGUCUUGAAAGGGAGGCUUUAAUUGAAUGGUUCCCUUGAGGAAAGCUUAGUCUACAUGAAAUCAAUGGUAGGUCUCCGAAGCCAUUAAAGUUACAGAUGCCAACUAGAAUGACUUUAACAGUAGAUGCAAAUGCUCUUUUUGUAAAAAGGCUGGCCAGAAAUUCUAACACUUUCUCUACUGGUGCUGAGAAAGGGUCAAGACCAUUAUCACAAGCCCAUAUUGAAAAUCUCUCUGAGUUAGAGUUUUCUGGUGGAUGUUUUAUGUGAUGAUAGCAAUAUUUUCCUCACCGGGGAUGAUACCUCAUAAUGCCUGGUGACUAACGGAAUUGGAGGAACCAAGCAGUUAACUUGAGGCUUUAAAGACUGGGAUGCAACAGUCCCUGAGGGUGAGACAGAGGGUCUGGAACUGGGUCCAGAAUCCAUGAACGGUAAAACUAGAUGAGGCCAUAGGAAGGCAAACCAUAUUUGUUGAGGCCAGUAGGGUGCAAUGAGAAUUACUUGGCUUCUCAACCUGGCUGCUUUCUUUAGAAAGAGUGGGAUCAGAGGGAAAUGAGGAAAGGCAUAGUGAAGACCCGGGGGCCAAUCAAGAAGAAGAGCAUCUCUUGGGGAUUCCCGCUGAGGGAGGAGUAGGGCAAAGUAGAUUCUGCACUUGUUGUUUUGGGGUGAGGCAAAAAGAUUGCAGCAAGGCUGGCCCCAGUGACGAAAGAUCAUCUUCUCUAUCAUGGGAUUGAGACCACUUUUAAGGUGAAAGAAUGCACCUGCUCAGUUUGUCCACCCUUAUGUUUGAACUCGCUGGGAUGUAAAUUGCUAUUAGAAAGCGGUUGGAGGCUAUGGCCCAUUGCCACACUCAUAGGACCUGGUUCCCCCUUGCUUGUUGAUGUACCAGACUACUGACAUGUUGUCUGAUUGAAUAGCAAUUGUUCCUUGAGAAAGGAUGGGAUGAAAUGCCUGCAACGCCAGAAGCACCACCCUCAAUUAAAUCAAAAGGUGCUUCAACAAAGUAUUAGUUUAAGAGUGUGCACACACAACAAAGUAUUAGCUUA